AUUGAACGCUGGCGGAAUGCUUUACACAUGCAAGUCGAACGGCAGCACGGACUUCGGUCUGGUGGCGAGUGGCGAACGGGUGAGUAAUGUAUCGGAACGUGCCCAGUCGUGGGGGAUAACGUGGUGAAAAUUACGCUAAUACCGCAUACGAUCUAUGGAUGAAAGCGGGGGAUCGCAAGACCUUGCGCGAUUGGAGUGGCCGAUAUCAGAUUAGGUAGUUAGUGGGGUAAAGGCCCACCAAGCCAACGAUCUGUAGCUGGUCUGAGAGGACGACCAGCCACACUGGAACUGAGACACGGUCCAGACUCCUACGGGAGGCAGCAGUGGGGAAUUUUGGACAAUGGGCGAAAGCCUGAUCCAGCCAUUCCGCGUGCAGGAUGAAGGCCCUCGGGUUGUAAACUGCUUUUGUACAGAACGAAAAGGUUUCUACUAAUACUAGGAGCUCAUGACGGUACUGUAAGAAUAAGCACCGGCUAACUACGUGCCAGCCGCCGCCGUAA
This 500-nucleotide ribosomal RNA is filed under the name uncultured bacterium. Its description in RNAcentral is "partial 16S ribosomal RNA". It matches the Rfam family "Bacterial small subunit ribosomal RNA", at positions 30 to 523 of the family's 1533-position model. The record is from RNAcentral.